CACGUAGGGGGCGAGCGUUGUCCGGAAUUACUGGGCGUAAAGGGCGCGUAGGCGGCGAUUUAAGUCUGAUGUGAGACCCCUGGGCUUAACCUAGGGCUUGCAUUAGAAACUGAAUGGCUUGAGGGCAGGAGAGGAAAGCGGAAUUCCCAGUGUAGCGGUGAAAUGCGUAGAUAUUGGGAGGAACACCAGUGGCGAAGGCGGCUUUCUGGACUGAACCUGACGCUGAGGCGCGAAAGCCAGGGUAGCGAACGGGAUUAGAUACCCCGGUAGUCCUGGCCGUAAACGAUGGAUACUAGGUGUGGGAGGUAUCGACCCCUUCCGUGCCGCAGCCAACGCACUAAGUAUCCCGCCUGGGGAGUACGGCCGCAAGGCUGAA
Molecule: ribosomal RNA, 376 nt
Filed under: uncultured bacterium
Lineage: Bacteria
Description: bacterial SSU rRNA
Rfam family: Bacterial small subunit ribosomal RNA
Source: RNAcentral